UAAGGAAUAUUGCGCAAUGGGCGACAGCCUGACGCAGCGACGCCGCGUGGGGGAUGAAGGUCUUCGGAUUGUAAACCCCUUUCGGCAGGGAAGAUGGAACGGGUAACCGUUCGGACGGUACCUGCAGAAGCAGCCACGGCUAACUUCGUGCCAGCAGCCGCGGUAAUACGAAGGUGGCAAGCGUUGUUCGGAUUUACUGGGCGUACAGGGAGCGUAGGCGGUUGGGUAAGCCCUCCGUGAAAUCUCCGGGCCUAACCCGGAAAGUGCGGAGGGGACUGCUCGGCUAGAGGAUGGGAGAGGAGCGCGGAAUUCCCGGUGUAGCGGUGAAAUGCGUAGAGAUCGGGAGGAAGGCCGGUGGCGAAGGCGGCGCUCUGGAACAUUUCUGACGCUGAGGCGCGAAAGCGUGGGGAGCAAACAGGAUUAGAUACCCCCGUAGUCCCUGAGCGGGCUGGCAAGGCGCAU
RNAcentral lists this ribosomal RNA (462 nucleotides) under uncultured bacterium. Its description in RNAcentral is "bacterial SSU rRNA". It matches the Rfam family "Bacterial small subunit ribosomal RNA", at positions 355 to 825 of the family's 1533-position model. The record is from RNAcentral.